Molecule: long non-coding RNA, 281 nt
Filed under: Salvia miltiorrhiza (redroot sage)
Lineage: Eukaryota; Viridiplantae; Streptophyta; Magnoliopsida; Lamiales; Lamiaceae
Description: long non-coding RNA (SMIL_LNC001207)
Source: RNAcentral
GGGUGUGAAAAUUUUGCAGAUAUGCUGCUGGAGCUGGAGUCAAAAAAAAAAUGUCAAUAGGUGGCUGAGCAUGCUUGAGCAUGCUUAAGGGAUAGCUGCAGAUUUUCUUCACACACAUACACUAUUCUUUUUUUUUUUUUAAUGUUGGUAGAUAGAUAGAAAAAUAGGGGUUUGUAAAGUGAAGUAUAAACAGAAGCAAUAAUUCUUGUCUUGGAAUUUCUAUAUCUGUAAUAUUGUAUUGCAUCUUUUUUUUUAAUAAAAUCCAACUACCGGGUUUUGUU